RNAcentral lists this ribosomal RNA (872 nucleotides) under Tylopilus sp. Its description in RNAcentral is "LSU rRNA". It matches the Rfam family "Eukaryotic large subunit ribosomal RNA", at positions 72 to 931 of the family's 3401-position model. Lineage: Eukaryota; Fungi; Basidiomycota; Agaricomycetes; Boletales; Boletaceae. The record is from RNAcentral.
GGAUUCCCCUAGUAACUGCGAGUGAAGCGGGAGGAGCUCAAAUUUCGAAUCUGACAGUCCCUCGGGGCCGUCCGAGUUGUAAUCUAGAGAAGCGUCUUCCAGCGCCGGCCCGUGUACAAGUCUCCUGGAACGGAGCAUCAUGGAGGGUGAGAAUCCCGUCCUUGACACGCACCCCGGUGCACUGCGAUGCGCUCUCGACGAGUCGAGUUGUUUGGGAAUGCAGCUCAAAACGGGUGGUAGACUCCAUCUAAAGCUAAAUACGGGCGAGAGACCGAUAGCGAACAAGUACCGUGAGGGAAAGAUGAAAAGAACUUUGGAAAGAGAGCGAAACAGUACGUGAAAUUGCUGAAAGGGAAACGCUCGGCGUCAGUCGCGUCGUCCGGGGAUCAGCCUUGCUUUCGCUGGCGUACUUCCCGGGGGACGGGUCAGCAUCGGUCUCGCUCGGCGUACAAGGCCGGAGGGAACGUGGCACUCUCCGGGGUGUGUUAUAGCCUUCCGCCGGAUGCGUCGUCCGGGACCGAGGGACUCGGCACGGCCUCCCAUGGCCUGUGUCCAGGAUGCUGGCAUAAUGGCUUCGAGCGACCCGUCUUGAAACACGGACCAAGGAGUCCAACAUGUCUGCGAGUGUUUGGGUGGAAAACCCCGAGCGCGCAGCGAAAGCGAAUCAGCUCGGUCGGGACCCUCGUCGCGGGGGGCACCGACGCCCGGACCGGAGUCUGUGACGACGGAUCCGCGGUAGAGCAUGCAUGUUGGGACCCGAAAGAUGGUGAACUAUGCCUGAACAGGGCGAAGCCAGAGGAAACUCUGGUGGAGGCUCGCAGCGAUUCUGACGUGCAAAUCGAUCGUCGAAUUUGGGCAUAGGGGCGAAAGAC